This 1780-nucleotide long non-coding RNA is filed under the name Capsicum annuum. Its description in RNAcentral is "long non-coding RNA (CANN_LNC009276)". Lineage: Eukaryota; Viridiplantae; Streptophyta; Magnoliopsida; Solanales; Solanaceae. The record is from RNAcentral.
GUCCAACCACUUUAUCCAUUUACACGUGAAACCCUUUUAUCCAUUUACUAUGUUGAUAGAAGUUACAUAAAGUGGCAGUGACGAGGGUGUUUCAGUUUCUGGGCUAACCAUUUCUGGCAUGGAAGUACCCAACCCAUAUCUUGGCAUGGCAACACUGUGUAUGCCCUGUGAUUGAGGGUUCUCUCUCCCUUACGAUCAGUAUUUCCAGCCAUUGGGAGGCUGGAUUCUGUUUUGCCUUUUCAUAGAACACAUCUGAGCCCCAUUUUCAUGGAAAGAGUGAAAAAAGUAAUAUUUUCGUGAUUUAUUCUACACCCCACACCAACACAUGACUUCUUCCUCUUCUAUUUUCUGCUGCUUAUUACUAACUUGCAGAAAGUAGCUUAACUCUUUUUUCACUUUGAGUACCUAGAAAACAUAGGGUAGUUCCUACAGGACCAGUCACAGGGCUAUAGUAUAUGAUUGAGCCUUAGUAGUAGUUCACUACUUCUUGUUGAUGCUAUUUAUUCAAACAAGUGAGUUAAUUUGUGGAUUUAAAGUGCUCUUGUUGUUGGAUUAUGUUGUGUUCAGAAUUUGUGCGGCUUUCAGUACAAGUUUUAAGUUAGGAUAUCAAUGUUCUGAAAGAAAACAGGUACUCCAACCACUUUACCCAUUUACACGUGAUACACCUUUAUCCAUUUAUAUAAGUGUUUGGUGACAUAUACUGAUGUUGAGACUCAAUACUAAUAUAUUGGUAUGUGAAAACAUACAUCCACAUAAUGCAUAAGCCACAUAAUCAGAGAACCUAUGGUUCUCUCCCUGUUUUAGUUCCAUUCUAUGGCUACAAACACUAGUUUCAGCAUUGAUAACCAAAUAAUCCAACAACCCUUUGAAAUAAACAGAAAGGAAAAAAGAUUUAAAGCAGUUCUUUGCGUUGCUCCUACUGCUGAUAAUGAUGUUGUAAAGGGGUUGUGAUGAUUGCAUCCUUGAUUUCUGGACUAUGUUCAAUGAUAGAACCGAGAAUAACACGUCCCAUAUAUUGGCAGGGUGACCCGGUUAUGGCUUUGAAUAGAAAACUGAUGGUGUCUGGAGCCAUGGAAGUGUUUCUCCUCUUUUGCUUUGUUGUAAAAUAGCAAAUCUGAGCCUGCUAUUACCUGUUUUUUUCUCUUGGAUGGUGAUUCUUGUCGAGUCGAAAAACCAACAGACCCUUGUGGUCCAGUCCUUCUCGGAAACUCGUGUAUAGUAAGAUUUUAAUACACUUGACUGCAUUUUUUAAAAUAGGAGUCCUUCUCGGAAACUCGUGUAUAGUAAGAUUUUAAUACACUUGACUGCCUUUUUUAAAAUAGGACAGUCUUUUUUUUUGUGUGUGUGUAUGUGUUACUGUGUUGAUAGAAGUUACAUAAAGUGGCAGUGAUGAGGGUGUUUCUGUUUCUAGGCUAACCAUUUCUGGCAUGGAAGUACCCAACCCAUAUCUUGGCGUGGCAACACUGUGUAUGCCCUGUGAUUGAGGCUUCUCUCUCCCCUACAAUCAGUGUUUUCAGCCAUGGGGUGGCUGGAUUCUGUUUUGCCUUUUCAUGGAUCACAUCUGAGCCCCAUUUCCAUGAAAAGAGUGAAAAAAAGUACUCUUUUUUGUGAUUUAUUCUACAUCCCACAGCAACACAUGACUUCUUCUUUUUUUAUUUUCUUCUACUUAUUACUAACUUGCAGAAAGUACCUUAACUAUUUAUUCACUUUGAGUACCUAGAAAAUACAGGGUAGUUCCUAUAGGACCAGUCACAAGGCUAUAGUAUAUGACGAACCUUAU